UACAUGGGGUGCAAACGUUGCUCGGAAUUAUUGGGCGUAAAGCGCACGUAGGCGGUUCGUUAAGUCGGAUGUGAAAGCCCUCGGCUCAACUGAGGAAGUGCACCCGAAACUGGCGAGCUUGAGUACGAAAGAGGAUCGCGGAAUUCCCGGUGUAGAGGUGAAAUUCGUAGAUAUCGGGAGGAACACCGGUGGCGAAGGCGGCAUCCUGGACCGGUAUUGACGCUGAGGCGCGAAAGCCAGGGGAGCAAACGGG
RNAcentral lists this ribosomal RNA (253 nucleotides) under uncultured bacterium. RNAcentral describes it as "partial 16S ribosomal RNA". It matches the Rfam family "Bacterial small subunit ribosomal RNA", at positions 524 to 776 of the family's 1533-position model. The record is from RNAcentral.